This 114-nucleotide ribosomal RNA is filed under the name Gopherus agassizii (Agassiz's desert tortoise). Lineage: Eukaryota; Metazoa; Chordata; Testudines; Testudinidae. The record is from RNAcentral.
AGCACGGCUUGAACCAUAGCUCCAUGAGCUCAUCAGAUCACAAAAGUUAAGCAGCAUCAGGCCUGGUCAGCACUAAGAUGGGAGAUCUCCAAAGAGAAGAGAGAGGACGUGUGU